CAGACCCGAUCGGGAGAGACUGUCGCAACUGGCAGCGCCGAAGGAGCAACCGCCCCGGAAACUCUCAGGCAAAAGGACCGAUCAGGUGAU
Molecule: non-coding RNA, 90 nt
Filed under: Curvibacter sp. PAE-UM
Lineage: Bacteria; Pseudomonadati; Pseudomonadota; Betaproteobacteria; Burkholderiales; Comamonadaceae
Also listed under: 1 other name
Description: Glycine riboswitch aptamer
Rfam family: Glycine riboswitch aptamer
About the family: This family represents the bacterial glycine riboswitch. Glycine riboswitches usually consist of two metabolite-binding aptamers domains with similar structures in tandem. The aptamers cooperatively bind glycine to regulate the expression of downstream genes.
Source: Rfam by way of RNAcentral